AUGUAUGUGAAGGAAAAAACAUAGUAUAUAUUGGGUUUGGUACUAUCUGUGGUUUCAGGCAUCCACUGGAUGUCUUGGAACAUAUCCACCGUGGAGAAGGGGGGACUACUAUACCUACAACAG
This is a non-coding RNA of Ceratotherium simum simum (southern white rhinoceros), 123 nucleotides long. The record is from RefSeq and is a predicted model, not a curated record. NCBI's taxonomy places the organism in Eukaryota, Metazoa, Chordata, Mammalia, Perissodactyla, Rhinocerotidae.